ACUAUUUUGGCAGAUAAGUGCGGUAGAUUUAGGAUCUUCUUAUGUAAUAUUUUAUUUUACAGAUAGUA
RNAcentral lists this transfer RNA (68 nucleotides) under Microhodotermes viator. RNAcentral's name for it is "tRNA-Leu". RNAcentral also lists the same sequence under 1 other name. The record is from RNAcentral. Lineage: Eukaryota; Metazoa; Arthropoda; Insecta; Blattodea; Hodotermitidae.